RNAcentral lists this ribosomal RNA (460 nucleotides) under uncultured bacterium. RNAcentral describes it as "partial 16S ribosomal RNA". It matches the Rfam family "Bacterial small subunit ribosomal RNA", at positions 338 to 795 of the family's 1533-position model. The record is from RNAcentral.
CCUACGGGAGGCAGCAGUGAGGAAUAUUGGUCAAUGGACGAGAGUCUGAACCAGCCAAGUAGCGUGAAGGAUGACUGCCCUAUGGGUUGUAAACUUCUUUUAUAUGGGAAUAAAACAGGGUAUGCAUACCCUCUUGUAUGUACCAUAUGAAUAAGGAUCGGCUAACUCCGUGCCAGCAGCCGCGGUAAUACGGAGGAUCCGAGCGUUAUCCGGAUUUAUUGGGUUUAAAGGGUGCGUAGGUGGGUUGAUAAGUCAGUUGUGAAAGUGUGCGGCUCAACCGUAAAAUUGCAGUUGAAACUGGCAGUCUUGAGUACAGUAGAGGUGGGCGGAAUGCGUGGUGUAGCGGUGAAAUGCUUAGAUAUCACGAAGAACUCCGAUUGCGAAGGCAGCUUACUGGACUGCAACUGACACUGAUGCUCGAAAGUGUGGGUAUCAAACAGGAUUAGAUACCCUUGUAGUC